Molecule: ribosomal RNA, 253 nt
Filed under: uncultured bacterium
Lineage: Bacteria
Description: partial 16S ribosomal RNA
Rfam family: Bacterial small subunit ribosomal RNA
Source: RNAcentral
UACGGAGGGAGCAAGCGUUACUCGGAAUUAUUGGGCGUAAAGGGCGCGUAGGCGGCUUGACAAGUCCCGGGUGAAAUCCCUCGGCUCAACCGAGGAACUGCCUUGGAAACUGUCUGGCUUGAGGCCGGGAGAGGGUAGUGGAAUUCCCAGUGUAGCGGUGAAAUGCGUAGAUAUCAGGAGGAACACCGGUGGCGAAGGCGGGUCUCUGGGCAGUAACUGACGCUGAGGAGCGAAAGCGUGGGGAGCGAACAGG